Molecule: non-coding RNA, 72 nt
Organism: Danio rerio (zebrafish)
Lineage: Eukaryota; Metazoa; Chordata; Actinopteri; Cypriniformes; Danionidae
Source: Rfam
GGCUCGUUGGUCUAGGGGUAUUAUUCUCGCUUCGGGUGUGAGAGGUCCUGGGUUCAAAUCCCGAACGAGCCC